GUUUUGCAGGUUCAGUGUACAGGGACAGUCCAGCAGAGUACAGAAAGAGUAACGAGAUUUGUAAUAGCGUAGAGUGGACAUGUAAUAUGAAAGAGAUGUAAUAGUUGUGUAUAAAGUUAGAAAUGUGCUUGACUUAGUGAUGUAUGUUUUGUACAUGAUCUGGAUAUGUAUAUAUGUUUUACUGUAUGUGAAAAACCAGGCUUAACAGGUAUAGAGUACAGAGUACAGAGUACAGAGUAUAGAAUACAGAGAUAGUGCAUGCACAGGUUAAGCCUUGGUUCAGAAAAGAGUUUUUAUUUUUCACAGAAAAUGUAUGAUCAUGUAUGAGUUUUACAGGUACACAGAGAGUAUAGCAGGCUUGCUACGGGUUCUGGCGGCCUUAAGCCGACCUGAAUCCUAGCGCCGGUGACGGUCCAUUUUGGGGUCGUUACAGAUUGGUAUCAGAGCCCUAGGUUCACAUGAUCGGACCUAAAGAGAGAGUGUCGGGCUCAUAAAGGUUAGAAGUGGUCAAGCACAAUAGGAAAUCAUGUCCACUAGGAUAGGGUCUUGAGUCCUAUCUGUUUAAUGUCAUGAAUUAUGCAUGUGCCUUAUUGAGAUGUGAUGUUUAUGUGCUAAAGUGCUAUCUUAUGUGUUGUUGUCCAGAAUAAAGAUGCGAGGAACUCGUCGAUCAGCUCGAUUGACUGGAGUCCCACCAGAUAGUGAGAGAACAACUGCUCGUCCUCCUGCAUUGCUAAGGGCAAGGUCUCAGAGAUCUAGCAGGGAAGGUACGUCAAUAGACCCUAGAAGGUCUGUAGACGAGAGUAGAAGAGGUACAGCGAGAGGAGAAAGAUCAGAGGAAAGGAGGGAGGCUAUGGAGAGUGACCAGUCUAGAGAUGAUAGCAUGGGUAUAGGCAGAUUUGAGGAAGGUAUGGGAGAGUCGCAGGGAGGCGCUCAGGCCUCAGGUUUUGGUUAUCCAGCUUUUUCGCAGGAUCUAGAGUAUCCGAUGGGAGGUAUGUCGGAGUACUCGAGUUUUGUCCCAUAUCCUCCUUACAUGCCAUAUAUGCCUUAUCCUCCUUACUAUCCACCAUAUCCUAUGUAUCCACCUUCCCCUACCCAUCCAAGUGCAGCACACCCAGAACCAAAUGACCCAGUACCACCACCAGAACCAGUAGCCCCUGUUGUAGAUAGACAUCAACCUAGCUCAUCUGGAGGUAAGGUACAAAUGACGGAGUACUUGAAAUUGGAUGCUCCUAAAUACAACACGGGAGAUGAUCCAUUUGACUACCUCAGAUCAGUUAGGAUGAUAACUAGUGAAUUGGGAGCUGAUGAUAGUAGAGCCAUUGAGAUGGCAGGGUUUACACUUAAAUGCAAGAAGGCCAGAGAAUGGUUCAAGAAUUAUGUGGAACCCAGGAUGAUCAGUAUGUCUUGGGGAGAGUUUGCCAAUGAAUUUGUAGGGUGGGCUUUUCCUGACAGUUCUAGGGAGAUGAAAGUAAUAGAGUUCGAACAGUUGCGACAGACAGAUGAGAUGAGUGUUAUGAAUUCACAGAUAAGUUCCUGGAUUUGCUUCAAUAUGUGGGUUAAGCCUAUGAUACUGAUCAGAAGAAGGCAAGGAGAUAUACUAUGAGAUUUCAUCCCAGGUAUUCUUCCUUGAUUCUUCCAGCAGAAAAGGAGAGUUUCCACACUAUAGUAGACGCAGCCAGGAAAAUGGAAGCUAGUGCCAAUAUUCAGAAACAGUCAAAGGCACAGGCUUCGGGUUCUAAGGCCCCCAGUGCAGGCACUUCAGGCAACAAGAGAUGGGAUAGAGCGAAAGGAACAAAGAGUAAGUUCUGGAGUAAAGUGAAGUCAGGUCUGGGAAUAGGUAGUGGCUCAAGCUCUGGCACAGCUCCAGUCUGCAGAAGAUGCAGAAAACCACAUGGAGGAGUUUGUCGGUUGGGAUCUACAACUUGUUUUAGAUGUGGACAGGAAGGGCAUAUUGCUCGGGAUUGUCCUCAGGUGACGUUUGCACCAUCCCAGCAGAUGAGUUCAGGCAGUGUGGUAUAGCCAGUUGUACAGCCAGCAGCUCCAGUCAUGCCUCAGAGUAGUGGCAGAGGUAGAGGGAGAGGGGCAGCCUCUACUUCAGCAGUAGGUUCCCGAGGUGGAAAUCCGGUAGCCCCAGCACGGAUUUUCACUGUGACACAGGAGGAGGCUAACACGUCGAACACAGUGGUGUCAGGUAAUCUCAUCAUUGGGUGUUCAGAUGUGUAUGCUUUGAUGGACCCCGGUGCUUCUCAUUCCUUUAUUGCUUCGAGAGCCAUAAAGAGGUUGGGUUUGAUCAGUUCUGAGUUAGAGUAUCCUCUCUGGGUUAGUGGACCUAAAUGUGACCCAUCAGUGGCAGUGUCAGUCUGUCGGUUCAAUCCAGUGUUCAUAGAGGGUAGAUGCCUUCCAGCUGACCUUGUGGUUCUAGACUUGACAGAUUUUGAUGUCAUUCUAGGGAUGGAUUGGCUAUCUGCAUAUAGUGCUACUUUGGACUGUAAAGAGAAGAUAGUGAGUCUCAGAGACCAGGAUGGGUCAGAGUGUGUCUUCAGAGGAGACAGGAGAGGUACACCCAGAGGUAUGAUUUCAGCCCUUCAGGCUCGUCGUUUGAUUAGGAGGGGUUGUCAGGGGUUUCUAGCUCAUGUGAGAGAGCUAGACAGUCAGGUGAGGGAACCAGCCGCAGUACCAGUAGUCCGCGAGUUUCUCGAUGUUUUUCCAGACGAACUUCCAGGACUACCACCUGGUAGGGAGAUAGAGUUUGAAAUAGAAUUACUGCCUGAUACCAGACCUAUCUUUAUUCCUCCCUACAGGAUGGCGCCAGCAGAGUUAAAGGAGUUAAAAGAACAGUUGCAGGACUUGGUAGAUAAGGGUUUCAUCCGCCCUAGUACCUCACCUUGGGGUGCUCCAGUGCUCUUUGUCAGAAAGAAGGAUGGCUCCCUCAGACUUUGUAUCGACUAUAGACAGUUGAACAAGGUCACUACCAAGAAUAGGUAUCCUUUACCUCGGAUUGAUGAUCUAUUUGACCAGCUAGCUGGAGCAGGUUGUUUCUCUAAAAUAGAUCUGAGAUCCGGAUAUCAUCAGUUGAGAGUCAGAGAGGCCGAUGCAUCAAAGACCGCUUUUCGGACUAGAUAUGGGCAUUAUGAGUUCUUAGUGAUGCCGUUCGGGUUGACUAACGCCCCUGCAGCAUUCAUGGAUCUCAUGAACAGGGUAUUCAGUGAGUUUCUGGAUCACUUUGUCAUUGUUUUCAUCGAUGAUAUCUUAGUGUAUUCCAGAGAUGCAGAGGAGCAUGCCCAGCAUCUGAGGAUAGUUCUGCAAACACUGAGAGAGCAUGGUUUAUAUGCCAAGUUCUCGAAGUGUGAGUUUUAGUUGAGGAGCAUUUCCUUCUUGGGACAUGUGGUAUCAGCAGAGGGUAUUGAGGUAGAUCCCAAGAAGAUAGAGGCUGUAGCUAACUGGCCCAGACCCACUAUUUACUAUUCUACUCACUGGGCUAUAGAGCUCAUCCCACUCCCUUAACCCCAGUUUUGCAGGUUCAGUGUACAGGGACAGUCCAGCAGAGUACAGAAAGAGUAACGAGAUUUGUAAUAGCGUAGAGUGGACAUGUAAUAUGAAAGAGAUGUAAUAGUUGUGUAUAAAGCUAGAAAUGUGCUUGACUUAGUGAUGUAUGUUUUGUACAUGAUCUGGAUAUGUAUAUAUGUUUUACUGUAUGUGAAAAACCAGGCUUAACAGGUACAGAGUACAGAGUACAG
RNAcentral lists this long non-coding RNA (3737 nucleotides) under Manihot esculenta (cassava). RNAcentral's name for it is "long non-coding RNA (MESC_LNC012317)". Lineage: Eukaryota; Viridiplantae; Streptophyta; Magnoliopsida; Malpighiales; Euphorbiaceae. The record is from RNAcentral.